RNAcentral lists this ribosomal RNA (483 nucleotides) under uncultured eukaryote. RNAcentral describes it as "SSU rRNA". It matches the Rfam family "Eukaryotic small subunit ribosomal RNA", at positions 63 to 549 of the family's 1831-position model. The record is from RNAcentral.
GUAUAAGCGACUAUACUGUGAAACUGCGAAUGGCUCAUUAAAUCAGUUAUGGUUUAUUUGAUGGUACCUACUACUUGGAUAACCGUAGUAAUUCUAGAGCUAAUACAUGCAGGAGAACCCGACUUCGGAAGGGUUGUAUUUAUUAGAUAAGAAACCAAUCCAGCUUGCUGGUUGCGUGCCGAGUCACAAUAACUGCUCGAAUCGCACGACUUUACGUCGGCGAUGGUUCAUUCAAAUUUCUGCCCUAUCAGCUUUCGAUGGUAGGAUCGAGGCCUACCAUGGCGUUUACGGGUAACGGAGAAUUAGGGUUCGAUUCCGGAGAGGGAGCCUGAGAAAUGGCUACCACAUCCAAGGAAGGCAGCAGGCGCGUAAAUUGCCCGAAUCCUGACACAGGGAGGUAGUGACAAGAAAUAACGAUACAGGGCUACAUCUAGUCUUGUAAUUGGAAUGAGUACAAUUUACAUCUCUUAACGAUGAUCAAUU